RNAcentral lists this ribosomal RNA (253 nucleotides) under uncultured bacterium. RNAcentral describes it as "partial 16S ribosomal RNA". It matches the Rfam family "Bacterial small subunit ribosomal RNA", at positions 524 to 776 of the family's 1533-position model. The record is from RNAcentral.
UACAGGGGGGGCAAGCGUUGUUCGGAAUUACUGGGCGUAAAGGGUUCGUAGGUGGCUCACUAAGUCACACGUGAAAUCCCUCAGCUUAACUGGGGAACUGCGUGUGAAACUGGAGAGCUUGAGGGUAGGAGAGGAAUGCAGAAUUCCAGGUGUAGCGGUGAAAUGCGUAGAUAUCUGGAGGAAUACCGGUGGCGAAGGCGGCAUUCUGGACUAUUUCUGGCACUGAUGAACGAAAGCCAGGGGAGCAAACGGG